GGGGAAUGACGUCCGGUCCGAACAAGCCACGGCUGCUGCUGCGCUACCGCCGCGGCUUCGGACCAGGCUUCAUUCCCC
Zea mays is the source of this 78-nucleotide non-coding RNA. NCBI's taxonomy places the organism in Eukaryota, Viridiplantae, Streptophyta, Magnoliopsida, Poales, Poaceae. The record is from RefSeq and is marked provisional.